This 270-nucleotide long non-coding RNA is filed under the name Pan troglodytes (chimpanzee). RNAcentral's name for it is "lincRNA". Lineage: Eukaryota; Metazoa; Chordata; Mammalia; Primates; Hominidae. The record is from RNAcentral.
CCAGCUGCUCCAAGCCAGGCUGAAGGAGGAGAAGGAGGAGUCGCCUGUGGUAGGGUCGAGCAGAUGACGUGGCUCUGCAGCUUGCCUCAUGCAGUUGGUGGUGGAGAUGGAGACCACAGCUCGACUGGAGCGACAGGAGGGCACCCACGGGGCCAGGUGAGUAUUGUCAUGUGCAUGAGCAAACCUGGUUCAUCACCACAUCUUUGCAAGAAGAAAAAGAAUAGGAGAGAAUCAUGUGUAUAAUGUUGUUAAGGCAAAGAUUCACAACCA